This 370-nucleotide ribosomal RNA is filed under the name uncultured organism. RNAcentral describes it as "bacterial SSU rRNA". It matches the Rfam family "Bacterial small subunit ribosomal RNA", at positions 526 to 896 of the family's 1533-position model. The record is from RNAcentral.
CGUAGGGUGCGAGCGUUAAUCGGAAUUACUGGGCGUAAAGCGUGUGCAGGCGGUCUGUUAAGACAGGUGUGAAAUCCCCGGGCUUAACCUGGGAAUGGCGCUUGUUACUGGCAGACUAGAGUGCGUCAGAGGGGGUGGAAUUCCACGUGUAGCAGUGAAAUGCGUAGAGAUGUGGAGGAACACCGAUGGCGAAGGCAGCCCCCUGGGAUGACACUGACGCUCAUACACGAAAGCGUGGGGAGCAAACAGGAUUAGAUACCCUGGUAGUCCACGCCCUAAACGAUGUCAACUGGUUGUUGGGUGACUUGAUCACUUAGUAACGUAGCUAACGCGUGAAGUUGACCGCCUGGGGAGUACGGUCGCAAGAUUA